UACGAAGGGGGCUAGCGUUGCUCGGAAUGACUGGGCGUAAAGGGCGCGUAGGCGGCGGACACAGUCAGAUGUGAAAUUCCCGGGCUCAACCUGGGGGCUGCAUUUGAUACGUGUUUGCUUGAGUGGGGAAGAGGGUCGUGGAAUUCCCAGUGUAGAGGUGAAAUUCGUAGAUAUUCGCAAGAACACCAGUGGCGAAGGCGGCUCACUGGCCCGGUACUGACGCUGAGGUGCGAAAGCGUGGGGAGCAAACAGG
This 253-nucleotide ribosomal RNA is filed under the name uncultured bacterium. RNAcentral describes it as "partial 16S ribosomal RNA". It matches the Rfam family "Bacterial small subunit ribosomal RNA", at positions 524 to 776 of the family's 1533-position model. The record is from RNAcentral.